GGUUUCUUAACCAGGGGUCAGGGGCCCAGAGGGUAGUCUGGUGUCCAUCUGAGAGUGAGUGGAGUUGGGGGCCGGGGGAAGGAGAGGCGGAUGACACUCAAUAUCUUUCAAGGUCCCACUCUGCCAAAAACAUCAUUGAGCAUCUACUCUGUGCCAAGUAAUGUUCUAUGCAGAUGAAUCGGUUCCCACCAUCCAGCGGUCACAGCCUGCCAGGAAGCAAGAGAAGACGACGAAGACUUGCCUUCAGACCGCAAUUAAGUAGCAGAGAGAACACUUUUCUUCAAGUUAGUCAGUCUUGUCUGUGUGUGGCUUGCUCGUUGGACUUGGGAGAACUGAAAGAUCGUGACACACACACCUGCCUGGGCGAG
Molecule: long non-coding RNA, 368 nt
Filed under: Equus caballus (horse)
Lineage: Eukaryota; Metazoa; Chordata; Mammalia; Perissodactyla; Equidae
Description: lncRNA (ENSECAG00000036109.3)
Source: RNAcentral